AUUGAACGCUGGCGGCAUGCCUUACACAUGCAAGUCGAACGGUAACAGGUUAAGCUGACGAGUGGCGAACGGGUGAGUAAUACAUCGGAACGUGCCCAGUAGCGGGGGAUAGCGCGGCGAAAGCCGUAUUAAUACCGCAUACGACCUAAGGGAGAAAGGGGGGGAUCGCAAGUCCUCUCGCUAUUGGAGCGGCCGAUGUCAGAUUAGCUAGUUGGUGGGGUAAAGGCUCACCAAGGCGACGAUCUGUAGCUGGUCUGAGAGGACGACCAGCCACACUGGGACUGAGACACGGCCCAGACUCCUACGGGAGGCAGCAGUGGGGAAUUUUGGACAAUGGGCGCAAGCCUGAUCCAGCCAUGCCGCGUGCGGGAAGAAGGCCUUCGGGUUGUAAACCGCUUUUGUCAGGGAAGAAAUCCUUUGGGUUAAUACCUCGGGGGGAUGACGGUACCUGAAGAAUAAGCACCGGCUAACUACGUG
Molecule: ribosomal RNA, 477 nt
Filed under: uncultured bacterium
Lineage: Bacteria
Description: partial 16S ribosomal RNA
Rfam family: Bacterial small subunit ribosomal RNA
Source: RNAcentral